UACGGAGGGGGCUAGCGUUGUUCGGAAUUACUGGGCGUAAAGCGCACGUAGGCGGCUUGGCAAGUCAGAGGUGAAAGCCCGGGGCUCAACUCCGGAAUUGCCUUUGAAACUGCCUCGCUUGAUCACGGGAGAGGUGAGUGGAAUUCCGAGUGUAGAGGUGAAAUUCGUAGAUAUUCGGAAGAACACCAGUGGCGAAGGCGGCUCACUGGACCGUUGAUGACGCUGAGGUGCGAAAGCGUGGGGAGCAAACAGG
This 253-nucleotide ribosomal RNA is filed under the name uncultured bacterium. RNAcentral's name for it is "partial 16S ribosomal RNA". It matches the Rfam family "Bacterial small subunit ribosomal RNA", at positions 524 to 776 of the family's 1533-position model. The record is from RNAcentral.